GAUAAAAUUCAAGUCCUGAAGUGUUUUAGCUUCAGGUACGUAUGUACAUAUGGUAUUAAGCAUUUGAGUAAAAGAUCCAUUUUAAUUUCUAUUCUGAACACGUGGCAAAUCAUUUUGACAGAUCCGUGUUUUAGCUGCAGGUUGCCAGUGUAUUUUUGGAGGACAGGGUGGAGAGGAAGAGCUUUCCCAACACUGAAGUGCUGGUGGUGAUGGCUGGAGUGGGGAAAGCCAUGUGCGUACAGAGGGAGAAUCCUCGUUUCCUGCUUUUUGGUCAUUUCGUUGAUUGAUGGGUUGCUGUAUAUUCUCCCCCGCCCCAUGCCAUGUGGACAACCAAUGAAGUGAAAUCAUAUAUUAGGGAAAAGAAUAGUUUAGAACAUUAACUGCUUUAAUCCUCUUACAAUUCUGUGUUGUGAUGAACCCCGUUGUAUAGAUGAAGAAAUAAAUGACGUUCUCAGUUUUGAGCCUUUUGAAGAUAGUGACUUUUAGGAGCAGAAGGUGAAUGGCAACCAAACAAGAAAAUCAAAGCCGUAAUGAGCCUCGGCCUUCAUACUGAGAGCCCUGCCAUACUGAGGCAAUCUGCUGUGGAAGAUUCCUUUUCAUCAGGAAGGCAUAUGGGCCUGAGAAUCUUGAAUCUGUAUUUUGGGCCCUGUCAGUUAACUAAUUUUAGAAAUGUCACUUUACAUAAAUGAGUUUCCCCCUGUGUAAAA
This is a non-coding RNA of Delphinapterus leucas (beluga whale), 707 nucleotides long. NCBI's taxonomy places the organism in Eukaryota, Metazoa, Chordata, Mammalia, Artiodactyla, Monodontidae. The record is from RefSeq and is a predicted model, not a curated record.